Non-coding RNA from Triangularia setosa, 126 nucleotides. Lineage: Eukaryota; Fungi; Ascomycota; Sordariomycetes; Sordariales; Podosporaceae. The record is from the annotation of a GenBank genome assembly.
GGGCGUGUGGCUCAGUUGGUAGAGCGUUCGCUUAGCAUAAUCUUGAAAAAAAUGAAGCAACAAUAGAUGUGGAGUUUGAUAUAUCGGAUAUGCGAAAGGUCCUGGGUUCGAUUCCCAGCUCGUCCA